This 4954-nucleotide long non-coding RNA is filed under the name Solanum lycopersicum (tomato). Its description in RNAcentral is "long non-coding RNA (SLYC_LNC000808)". The record is from RNAcentral. Lineage: Eukaryota; Viridiplantae; Streptophyta; Magnoliopsida; Solanales; Solanaceae.
UGAGGGUUCUAAAUGAGGAUUGUUUACAUCCCUACUCUGUCGAAAUAGGGCGAAACGUCGCGGCAACUCGAAAAUAAUUAAUUGAUUCAAUUUUAACAAAGUUUAAAAAUAAACGAGUUUUAAAAAAGAGUCGCCACCUAAUUUUAGGAAAACUAGGAAACCGUUAAAUGAUCUACGAAACCAAAUUGGUUCUAGGUAAGGAGUUCAAGUUAUUCCGAAUGGAAGGAGUUAGGCACCCUUCGAAAUCCACAAUUGUGGUCCCUGACUGAAUUCAUUUUUUUUUUCAAAUUGAGGAAGAAUAUAAAAUAAUGUACAGAUAUAAUAAACAUGCAAUAUACAAAAUAAAAACAAAAUAAUAAUCGGUCUAAAGUUUGCCCAACAGUUAGAAUUGCAGGUAAAUCUCCCAUUCUUUUUUUUUAAAGAUUGAAUUAAGGUAAUUCCUACAACUUCAAGUGGUUCCUCAAAUAUACUUAAGGAUCAACAAGAUCCGUUCAUCUUGUAUCAAACAAAGAUUUUGAAUUGUAUCAAUCCUCAUGUUUCAAGUGCCCUCACGACAAAGGCUAGUCCUAUUUCACACAUAUUUGAAACAUUUGACUAUAGGACAUUUUUCAAACUGCACUCACACUUACAAGAAUGUUCAAUGUAUACAACUGUGAUACAAUAUGCUUGACCCUUAUGUAAAUCUCCACUAAUGUGAGAACAUUUGGAAUGAGAUUAUGUAGGGCUUGUCAUUGGCAUGUAACGUAGGCUUAGGGAUGGGUAGGAUAUUUAUUUGAGGUAAAAGUGACUGAUUCCUCCUUGAGCGUCACACAUAAUUUGUGCUCUUAAUAAUUGUUAUGUCUUUGACGUUAGAUCCUCUUCAUUGUUCUCCCACCUUUCAUCUUCUUUUGAAUUUUCAUUUUAAAUGCUUUCCCUUUUUUUUGAGCUUUUCUCUUCAUCUCUUCUUUUUUUUUUCUUUUGAGUCCUUAUCUGUUGAAGCUUUUAUUUUAUUCACUUCUUUAUUAUAAUAAUUUUUCUUUUUUUUGUUGGAAUAUUUUCCUUCCCACCUUUCACUGAUCCUGUAAAGGAAUUUUUCGCCUUUCUUUAUUUCUUCCACUUUUUUUUUCUUUUUCUCUAGAGUCUUUGUUUCCUUGAUUUUGGGAGACUCAAUAUCUUUGCUUUUUGAAAUUUCAAACAUGGAUCUCCUGUUAUAAUUUGCACAUUCUUUGUGCACUCAAGGAGGUUGGGCCAAGAGAGGAUAGUGCUUGUAAGCACUCAAAAGGGUAGUGAAUAGGAUUUGGUUGUCCAAAUGAAGGUUUCAGGCUCAAAAUGGGAAAACUAGGGAUUAAUGUAAUUGGUUAGGCUUUGAAAGGCACAAUCGAGUCAAAAAGGCCUACAAUCCCUUCUCAAACCAAACAUUACUCAUGAUUUCGCCUCGAAAAACAUUCAGGUCAAGUUCUAGAUCAACAGUGUAACACAAUUGAACUUUGAUCAAAAUCUCACCACACAAUGCACAUGAAACAUAAGGUUGGUUUUAUUCUUAUCUUGAUUGCAUGCAAGAGAAUUUUCAGUUAUCACAAAAGUACAUAUAAAAGGUACCACGAGAAUCUAUGGUUUACCGCAAAGCCAGUCUUUUCAACCAUAUCGAAUGUAUUUACACGCUCUUAACAGCAUAGGUUCCGACCGAGUUGAAGACAUGACUCUUACCAUAUGUACAAAUAAUUUUUUUUUUAUUUUUUGCAAAAGAUAAUACCGAACCCAAGAAGGGUUGCCUACGUAUCUCAUUAAAAAUGAGAAUCAGGUACGCGUAGUUCGCGCAUAUAUGACUUGAAAAAUAUGCACAAACUAUUUUAUAAUUUUUUUUUUGAAAAAGAUCAUACCGAACCCAAGAAGGAUUGCCUACAUAUCUCAUCGAAAUGAAAAUCAGGUACGCGUAGUUCGGCCAGAUAUGGCUGGAAAAAUAUGCGCAAACUAUUAAUUAAUUUUUUUUUUUUAAAAAAAAUAAUACCGAACCCAAAAAGGGUUGCCUACGUAUCUCAUUAAAAUGAGAAUCAGGUACGCGUAGUUCGACAGAUAUAGCAUAUAAGAAUUUAAAGAGUUAGACAAUUCAAAGAAAUUCCUAUGUCUAGCGCCACUAAAAUUUGUUUCCAUGAAAUGCUUUUUUUUUAAACCAAUAUGUUUUAUAGCCUCUUAAUCGUCAAUAUUUAUACUGUCUGUUGAAUGUACCCUACGAAUUUCUACAGUAGUGAUUUGUUGUACUCUUUUUGGAUGUUUUCUUGGAUCUUUGUCUCCUUCCACUUUUCACGAGAUCCAGACAUUGUUAUGACCAUCCCCGACUGAUGUCGGGGACGGUAUUCCUACAAAAAUAUGAGAAAUAUGUGAGAGCAGGACCAUCAUGCAAAAUAAUAAUAAAAAUAAGUGGGUGCCACCUCAUAGUCAAAUACUCCCCCUAAUUUAUCGUUUUGACUUGAUAUUAGCGCCUUGUGAAAUACAAGGACUCGAAGUUCGUUAAUCCUCUUGUCUCUUGCGACUUCAGACAAAAAAUGAUUUCUGAAUUUGAACAUAAAUUAUUUUUUCAUUGUAAAGAAGAGCAACUCAAAAUGUAAAAGUGUUAGUUCCUGUAAUUAAUAAAUAAUGCAAAAUAUCACACAAAUAAUGAAUAAAACACAAAAAUAUUGUUUUAAUUAAAGACAAACUGAAUAUAUUACAUAGUAUACAAACAAUUAUUGCGCGUCCUAUACAAAUAUGUGACCCUUUUAUGCCUAGGGUAGGCCUAUCGAUUUGAAGGAUGUAUACGUCAUUUGAAAUAUUUCAUUGCCUCAAAACUCAAAUUUAUACAAAUUUUAUGAAUAAAACUUAAUGGGAAUACAUAAUAGGGGAAAUGUAUACAAAAUAAUCAAUCCCACGCAGGAGUACAACCCUAAACUAUGCCUCCACGAAAGAUCCUUCAGCUUUCUUGAUUUGUUGUCAUCUCUGGGUGCCAAUAUCUUCGAUUAGACUAGUAGCUGGUGAAGCACUUUCUUUAACCUAAGCAAACUAUAAUCUAAUCCUUAUCCUAUGAGACAAUGAUUUUCUCAAACAACGUAUACAUCCUUCAAAUUUAAACACAUAAGUAUGAACGUCCUUUAAAGUCGUGGGUCGUUUUGGACUCAAGGUGGUCUUCUAAUGGGCACAACACGCCUUGUGUGUUGGUCAUCUUAGGCUGAUGCUUAAAUUCGGAUUUGGUUUAGCUUUAUCCUAGUUGACUAAGAGUGGCUUUUGAAAGACCGGGAACCCAAGCGGACAACUUAGGCUGGAAUUCACGACAACCAUUGGAUGCAUAAGGAACCAAUAAAUUGCCAAUCAUUCCGAAAAAGGAUUGAGUAUUUUAAAAUCCGGUUGCGGUUCCGCAAACCAUCCUUUAAUAUACUAUGCAUACAUAUUGGAAGAUGCCAUGAAUGCAAAUAAAUAAAAAAUAUAUAUACACAAUAAAAUAAAUAAUGAAUAAAUACAAUAAACAAAUAAUCAACAAAUAUAAAAUACAAGGUAUAACAUAAUAAUAAAGCAAAAAUUUCCUCAAUUUGAAAAAUUAAAUUCAUAUUGGUUAAAACCUCUAAAGUCCCCAGCAAAGUCGCCAUUCUGUUUACAUCCCUACUCUGUCGAAAUAGGGCGAAACGUCGCGGCAACUCAAAAAUAAUUAAUUGAUUCAAUCUUAACAAAGUUUAAAAAUAAACGAGUUUUAAAAAAGAGUCGCCACCUAAUUUUAGGAAAACUAGGAAACCGUUAAAUGAACUACGAAAUCAAAUUGAUUCUAGGUAAGGAGUUCAAGUUAUUCCGAAGGGAAGGGGUUAGGCACCCUUCGGAAUCCACAAUUGUGGUCCCCGACAGAAUUCAUUUUUUUUUUCAAAUUGAGGAAGAAUAUAAAAUAAUGUACAGAUAUAAUAAACAUGCAAUAUACAAAAUAAAAACAAAAUAAUAAUCGGCCUAAAGUUUGCCUAACGUCAAUAUUUACAAAAUAAUGAAAUAGUAUAAUUCGAGCUUUUUCGAAUGAUUCAAGGAGAUACACCUCCGGGUACCUGUAAAGACACUUAGUAAAAGAGUUAGUACCAAAUAAAUAUAAAUAAAAAUGAAUAACUCAAAUAAUAACUAAAAAAUAAAAAUCCGUCUUAUUAAUAUGGGAGGCCUUGGAAAUCGAUGGAAAUUUCUUCAUCGGCCAUUCCAACAACUAAAAUUAUAUAUAAACUUUAAAUUAGAUUUCCGUCUUUUAAAAAUAGGAAGGCCUCUAAACCCAACGGAUAGAUUUUUCAUUGGCCACUUUCAACAUAUAAAAUAUAUAAACUUGAAUUAAAAUUCCGUCUUUUAAAAUGGGGAGGCCUCUAAACCCGACGGAUAGAUUUUUCAUCGGCCCCUUCAACAUAUAAAUAUUAAUAUCUAUAAAACUAAUAAUAUAAGCACAUAUCACUACACUGUAAUUAAAUACAAAUAAACUACUUAAGCUUGCCAAACAAAUAAAAUAAUGAAAAUAACUACAAAAGUAGUCAAACAUAAAAGCUAACAGUGAGAAAUAGGGAAAAGACAAAUUAAAACAAUGAGAAAUAAUUGUGUCCACGGAGAUGUCACUGAGGGGUGCUCACUAUAUAUAUAUAUUUUUUUAAUAUUACCAAAGAAGGAAUAUAAUAAACACAUAUUAAGCAUCUUGAGCAUAGAUCUAAGAAGGAAAAAAAAUGGAAAUUGAUAGAAUAUAGCCGACACAAUAGCCAACAAAUAGAAACAAAGUAUGUCAUUUAUGUUAACAAAAAAUGGUUCAAACUUAAUAAUAAACAAAACAUACAAAAAUAUAAAUAAAGCAUAAUAAUACUUAACCAUUUUAACAACUAAAAUAGAUGGACUUAAACUAAAAUUUUCCGUCUUUUAAAAUGGGAAGGCCUCUAAACCCGACGGAUAGAUUUUUCAUCGGCCCACUUCAACUUUAUAAUAAAAGUGAACUCAAACUAGA